GAUGAACGCUGGCGGCGUGCCUAAUACAUGCAAGUCGAGCGAACAGACGAGGAGCUUGCUCCUCUGACGUUAGCGGCGGACGGGUGAGUAACACGUGGAUAACCUACCUAUAAGACUGGGAUAACUUCGGGAAACCGGAGCUAAUACCGGAUAACAUGUUGAACCGCAUGGUUCAACAGUGAAAGACGGUCUUGCUGUCACUUAUAGAUGGAUCCGCGCCGCAUUAGCUAGUUGGUAAGGUAACGGCUUACCAAGGCAACGAUGCGUAGCCGACCUGAGAGGGUGAACGGCCACACUGGAACUGAGACACGGUCCAGACUCCUACGGGAGGCAGCAGUAGGGAAUCUUCCGCAAUGGGCGAAAGCCUGACGGAGCAACGCCGCGUGAGUGAAGAAGGUCUUCGGAUCGUAAAACUCUGUUAUUAGGGAAGAACAAAUGUGUAAGUAACUAUGCACGUCUUGACGGUACCUAAUCAGAAAGCCACGGCUAACUACGUG
RNAcentral lists this ribosomal RNA (497 nucleotides) under uncultured bacterium. RNAcentral's name for it is "partial 16S ribosomal RNA". It matches the Rfam family "Bacterial small subunit ribosomal RNA", at positions 28 to 507 of the family's 1533-position model. The record is from RNAcentral.